RNAcentral lists this ribosomal RNA (301 nucleotides) under uncultured bacterium. RNAcentral's name for it is "partial 16S ribosomal RNA". It matches the Rfam family "Bacterial small subunit ribosomal RNA", at positions 509 to 809 of the family's 1533-position model. The record is from RNAcentral.
CAGUAGCCACGGGAACACGUAGGGGGCAAGCGUUAUCCGGAAUAACUGGGCGUAAAGGGUGCGCAGGUGGUUUAACAAGUUAGUGGUGAAAGGCAUAGGCUCAACCAAUGUAAGCCAUUAAAACUGUCUAACUUGAGUGCAGAAGAGGAAAGUGGAAUUCCUAGUGUAGCGGUGAAAUGCGUAGAUAUUAGGAGGAAUACCAGUGGCGAAGGCGGCUUUCUGGACGAAAACUGACGCUGAGGCGCGAAAGCCAGGGGAGCGAACGGGAUUAGAUACCCCUGUAGUCCCUGUCUCUUAUACA